CGGAGGGUGCAAGCGUUAAUCGGAAUUACUGGGCGUAAAGCGCGCGUAGGUGGCUAAGUCAGCCAGGUGUGAAAGCCCCGGGCUCAACCUGGGAACGGCAUCUGGAACUGCUUGGCUAGAGUGCAGGAGAGGAAGGUAGAAUUCCCGGUGUAGCGGUGAAAUGCGUAGAGAUCGGGAGGAAUACCAGUGGCGAAGGCGGCCUUCUGGACUGACACUGACACUGAGGUGCGAAAGCGUGGGGUAGCAAACAGGAUU
RNAcentral lists this ribosomal RNA (255 nucleotides) under uncultured bacterium. RNAcentral's name for it is "partial 16S ribosomal RNA". It matches the Rfam family "Bacterial small subunit ribosomal RNA", at positions 526 to 779 of the family's 1533-position model. The record is from RNAcentral.